RNAcentral lists this ribosomal RNA (667 nucleotides) under uncultured Geobacillus sp. RNAcentral describes it as "bacterial SSU rRNA". It matches the Rfam family "Bacterial small subunit ribosomal RNA", at positions 28 to 674 of the family's 1533-position model. The record is from RNAcentral. Lineage: Bacteria; Bacillati; Bacillota; Bacilli; Caryophanales; Anoxybacillaceae.
GACGAACGCUGGCGGCGUGCCUAAUACAUGCAAGUCGAGCGGACCGGAUCGGAGCUUGCUCUGGUUUGGUCAGCGGCGGACGGGUGAGUAACACGUGGGCAACCUGCCCGCAAGACCGGGAUAACUCCGGGAAACCGGAGCUAAUACCGGAUAACACCGAAGACCGCAUGGUCUUUGGUUGAAAGGCGGCCUUUGGCUGUCACUUGCGGAUGGGCCCGCGGCGCAUUAGCUAGUUGGUGAGGUAACGGCUCACCAAGGCGACGAUGCGUAGCCGGCCUGAGAGGGUGACCGGCCACACUGGGACUGAGACACGGCCCAGACUCCUACGGGAGGCAGCAGUAGGGAAUCUUCCGCAAUGGGCGAAGGCCUGACGGAGCGACGCCGCGUGAGCGAAGAAGGCCUUCGGGUCGUAAAGCUCUGUUGUGAGGGACGAAGGAGCGCCGUUUGAAUAAGGCGGCGCGGUGACGGUACCUCACGAGAAAGCCCCGGCUAACUACGUGCCAGCAGCCGCGGUAAUACGUAGGGGGCGAGCGUUGUCCGGAAUUAUUGGGCGUAGAGCGCGCGCAGGCGGUCCUUUAAGUCUGAUGUGAAAGCCCACGGCUCAACCGUGGAGGGUCAUUAGAAACUGGGGGACUUGAGUACAGGAGAGGAGAGCGGAAUUCCACGU